RNAcentral lists this ribosomal RNA (400 nucleotides) under uncultured microorganism. Its description in RNAcentral is "bacterial SSU rRNA". It matches the Rfam family "Bacterial small subunit ribosomal RNA", at positions 9 to 407 of the family's 1533-position model. The record is from RNAcentral.
GAGUUUGAUCGUGGCUCAGAUUGAACGCUGGCGGCAUGCCUUACACAUGCAAGUCGAACGGCAGCAUGAUCUAGCUUGCUAGAUUGAUGGCGAGUGGCGAACGGGUGAGUAAUACAUCGGAACGUGCCCUGUAGUGGGGAUAACUAGUCGAAAGAUUAGCUAAUACCGCAUACGACCUGAGGGUGAAAGUGGGGGACCGCAAGGCCUCAUGCUAUAGGAGCGGCCGAUGUCUGAUUAGCUAGUUGGUGGGUAAAGGCCCACCAAGGCGACGAUCAGUAGCUGGUCUGAGAGGACGAUCAGCCACACUGGGACUGAGACACGGCCCAGACUCCUACGGGAGGCAGCAGUGGGGAAUUUUGGACAAUGGGCGAAAGCCUGAUCCAGCAAUGCCGCGUGUGUG